Long non-coding RNA from Gossypium raimondii (Peruvian cotton), 612 nucleotides. RefSeq lists it as uncharacterized. The transcript has 2 exons. The record is from RefSeq and is a predicted model, not a curated record. Lineage: Eukaryota; Viridiplantae; Streptophyta; Magnoliopsida; Malvales; Malvaceae.
CUUUCCAAAAAAAACUCUCUCCCCUCUCAGUCGUCCAGUCUCCAGUCCGGUCAUCGGCCACCGCGCCGGACGCCGAUCUCUGGCGCCGGCACCGUCGUAUACGGUGGCCGAAGAAAAAAUAAAAUAUCUUUUUCAACCCUUUCGAAUCCCCUAAGCCCAAAUCUGGGUUCAAACCUUCAAAAAAAUCAACUGAAAAUGCGAAAAGAGUCCCGAAACCUUUCGGUUACCGACCAUUGAUCCUCGAGGGUGGCUCCCUCAUCGUCUAGACGUCGCUUCCGACAGAAAGGUAUGAAGAUCAGGGACGCUUGUGGCUGUGGCACAAAGGUCUUCUUCGAAAACCCUAGGGUUUCUGCAAAUGAUUUGGGCCACAGAGCUUUGGGCCCCUGUUGUAUUUCGGGUUUUGGGCCAUAUAGGCCUGUUUGUAAAAAUGGACUGUUUGUUUAUUGUGGGACGGGUAAAAAUUUGGGUAUUACACUUACUAUGUGAUAUCUAAUCACUAUCUCGUAGGAUAUAAGCUCUAUCAUACAAUAGAAUAUCAAAUGUAGUUUAAGGUAUAUACGAAUGUAACUACUUAAGCUCAUCUGUGUUAUGUCGAGAUAUGUUUAUAUUUGU